AGCAUAUCAAUAAGCGGAGGAAAAGAAACUAACAAGGAUUCCCCUAGUAACUGCGAGUGAAGCGGGAAAAGCUCAAAUUUAAAAUCUGUCAGUCUUUGGCUGUCCGAGUUGUAAUCUAGAGAAGCGUUAUCCGCGCUGGACCGUGUACAAGUCUCCUGGAAUGGAGCGUCAUAGAGGGUGAGAAUCCCGUCUUUGACACGGACUGCCAGGGCUUUGUGAUGCGCUCUCAAAGAGUCGAGUUGUUUGGGAAUGCAGCUCAAAAUGGGUGGUAAAUUCCAUCUAAAGCUAAAUAUUGGCGAGAGACCGAUAGCGAACAAGUACCGUGAGGGAAAGAUGAAAAGAACUUUGGAAAGAGAGUUAAACAGUACGUGAAAUUGCUGAAAGGGAAACGCUUGAAGUCAGUCGCGUUGUCCAGGGAUCAACCUUGCUUUUGCUUGGUGUACUUUCUGGUUGACGGGUCAGCAUCAAUUUUGACUAUUGGAAAAAGAUCAGGGGAAUGUGGCAUCCUUUGGAUGUGUUAUAGCCUUUGGUUGCAUACAAUGGUUGGGAUUGAGGAACUCAGCACGCCGCAAGGCCGGGUUUUUAACCACGUACGUGCUUAGGAUGCUGGCAUAAUGGCUUUAAUCGACCCGUCUUGAAACACGGACCAAGGAGUCUAACAUGCCUGCGAGUGUUUGGGUGGAAAACCCGAGCGCGUAAUGAAAGUGAAAGUUGAGAUCCCUGUCGUGGGGAGCAUCGACGCCCGGACCAGACCUUUUGUGACGGCUCCGCGGUAGAGCAUGUAUGUUGGGACCCGAAAGAUGGUGAACUAUGCCUGAAUAGGGUGAAGCCAGAGGAAACUCUGGUGGAGGCUCGUAGCGAUUCUGACGUGCAAAUCGAUCGUCAAAUUUGGGUAUAGGGGCGAAAGACUAAUCGAACCAUCUAGUAGCUG
RNAcentral lists this ribosomal RNA (931 nucleotides) under Cortinarius cucumeris. Its description in RNAcentral is "LSU rRNA". It matches the Rfam family "Eukaryotic large subunit ribosomal RNA", at positions 37 to 953 of the family's 3401-position model. Lineage: Eukaryota; Fungi; Basidiomycota; Agaricomycetes; Agaricales; Cortinariaceae. The record is from RNAcentral.